This 253-nucleotide ribosomal RNA is filed under the name uncultured bacterium. RNAcentral's name for it is "partial 16S ribosomal RNA". It matches the Rfam family "Bacterial small subunit ribosomal RNA", at positions 524 to 776 of the family's 1533-position model. RNAcentral also lists the same sequence under 1 other name. The record is from RNAcentral.
UACGUAGGGUGCGAGCGUUAAUCGGAAUUACUGGGCGUAAAGCGUGCGCAGGCGGUUCGACAAGUCAGAUGUGAAAGCCCCGGGCUCAACCUGGGAAUGGCAUUUGAAACUGUCGGGCUUGAGUGUGGCAGAGGGGGGUGGAAUUCCGCGUGUAGCAGUGAAAUGCGUAGAGAUGCGGAGGAACACCGAUGGCGAAGGCAGCCCCCUGGGCUGACACUGACGCUCAGGCACGAAAGCGUGGGGAGCAAACAGG